AUUGAACGCUGGCGGCAUGCCUUACACAUGCAAGUCGAACGGUAACAGGUCUUCGGAUGCUGACGAGUGGCGAACGGGUGAGUAAUACAUCGGAACGUGCCUAGUAGUGGGGGAUAACUACUCGAAAGAGUGGCUAAUACCGCAUGAGAUCUACGGAUGAAAGCAGGGGAUCGCAAGACCUUGUGCUACUAGAGCGGCCGAUGGCAGAUUAGGUAGUUGGUGGGAUAAAAGCUUACCAAGCCGACGAUCUGUGGCUGGUCUGAGAGGACGAUCAGCCACACUGGGACUGAGACACGGCCCAGACUCCUACGGGAGGCAGCAGUGGGGAAUGUUGGACAAUGGGCGCAAGCCUGAUCCAGCAAUGCCGCGUGCAGGAUGAAGGCCUUCGGGUUGUAAACUGCUUUUGUACGGAACGAAAAGCCCCGGGUUAAUACCCUGGGGUCGUGACGGUACCGUAAGAAUAAGCACCGGCUACCUACGUGCCAGCAGCCGCCGUAA
This 498-nucleotide ribosomal RNA is filed under the name uncultured bacterium. RNAcentral's name for it is "partial 16S ribosomal RNA". It matches the Rfam family "Bacterial small subunit ribosomal RNA", at positions 30 to 523 of the family's 1533-position model. The record is from RNAcentral.